RNAcentral lists this ribosomal RNA (468 nucleotides) under uncultured bacterium. RNAcentral's name for it is "partial 16S ribosomal RNA". It matches the Rfam family "Bacterial small subunit ribosomal RNA", at positions 28 to 507 of the family's 1533-position model. The record is from RNAcentral.
GACGAACGCUGGCGGCGUGCUUAACACAUGCAAGUCGAACGGAAAGGCCCUGCUUUUGUGGGGUGCUCGAGUGGCGAACGGGUGAGUAACACGUGAGUAACCUGCCCUUGACUUUGGGAUAACUUCAGGAAACUGGGGCUAAUACCGGAUAGGAGCUCCUGAUGCAUGGUGGGGGUUGGAAAGUUUCGGCGGUUGGGGAUGGACUCGCGGCUUAUCAGCUUGUUGGUGGGGUAGUGGCUUACCAAGGCUUUGACGGGUGGCCGGCCUGAGAGGGUGACCGGCCACAUUGGGACUGAGAUACGGCCCAGACUCCUACGGGAGGCAGCAGUGGGGAAUAUUGCACAAUGGGCGGAAGCCUGAUGCAGCAACGCCGCGUGCGGGAUGACGGCCUUCGGGUUGUAAACCGCUUUCGCCUGUGACGAAGCGUGAGUGACGGUAAUGGGUAAAGAAGCACCGGCUAACUACGUG